UACGGAGGGGGCUAGCGUUGUUCGGAAUUACUGGGCGUAAAGCGCGCGUAGGCGGACCUGCAAGUCGGGGGUGAAAGCCCGAGGCUCAACCUCGGAACUGCCUUCGAUACUGCGGGUCUCGAGUCCGGGAGAGGUGAGUGGAAUUCCUAGUGUAGAGGUGAAAUUCGUAGAUAUUGGGAGGAACACCAGCGGCGAAGGCGGCGACCUGGUCAGAUACUGACGCUGAGGCGCGAAAGCGUGGGGAGCAAACAGG
RNAcentral lists this ribosomal RNA (253 nucleotides) under uncultured bacterium. RNAcentral describes it as "partial 16S ribosomal RNA". It matches the Rfam family "Bacterial small subunit ribosomal RNA", at positions 524 to 776 of the family's 1533-position model. The record is from RNAcentral.